UUAAGGACCAAAAACGUGGAAAAGCUUUGUUAUAGGGUUUCACACGUUUUUGGGCAGCCUCCAUCCUCUCUCCUCUUCAUCCUCUUGCUUAUGGUGUUUGUGAACCAUUAGAGGAGUGACAUUUGUGACUCUAAGCUUUCUAAAGUCAAUACAAGGAGAUUUGGGAUUGUUAUUGCUACAUAACAAUCAAGGUAACAUCUUAAACCUAUUCUCAUGUUAAUAUGAUUACUUGAAUGCUAGAAUUAGGGUUUAUAGUCUUGGAUAACUUGCAUGUACAAUAGAGAAACCUAGAUCCAAGCAUUAGGGUUUGUAUGAGCACAUAGGAUGUUCUUAGGACCAAAACCCAUCAGUGGUAUCAGAGCCUAGAUUGGUUUCUAUUGUAUUGAUGCUUUAUAUGUUGAAAAAAUUCGAUUUUUUUGUUUCUGGGGGCUGAACUCGCCAAGUUUUUUUUAGAUGAACUCGCCGAGUUCAUGCUAACUCGACGAGUCCAUGCCUGACUCGACGAGUCGGCUGGUCAGUAAGAGGGAAAACCGGGAUUUCUUGCUGUUUUUGCUUGAGGAUACUUGCCUUAUCAUAUUAGAUCAAUAUAAAUCCGAUUUUUUGAUAUAUAUGACUAUAUUCUUGAUCUAAUUGAAGAUAUUUAUCAAUUAAUAAAAUAUUUGUUUCCUUAUGUGAUAAUUGAUUAAUUAUUUUGAUUAAAUUGGUAAAUUGUUUUGCAAGAAAUCAUUAAAUAAAUCAAAUAUGGAUAAUUAUGUGAUUAAAUGUUAAUUUAGAUUAUUUGUUAUUUGAUCCUUGUGUUAUGAAAAGUUUCAUAUUUUCCCCUUUAGGUUUUAUAGUUUAAAUUUGACCUCAAAAGUUUUGUUGUUUUGAAAUUUAAAUAGUUGAAACCCUAAUGUUUUGAAAAAGGUUUCAAAACUUGCCCUCAAGUUUUGGAAUUUAAAUUUUGAUUAAUAGUUUAAUUUUGAUGUAUAUUUAAAUUCUAAACCCUAAUGUUUUGAAAUGUUUCAAAACUUGCCCUCAAGUUUUGGAAUUUAAAAGUUGAUUAAAAGUUUAAUUAGGAAUGUUAAAUUCUAAAACCCUAGUAUUGUUUUGAAAAAGUUCAAAUCACACCCUUAUGGUUUUAUUAAUUAAUUAAGGUGUAUAAUUAAAAGAGGUUUAAUAAAUCCAUAAAAGUUUUGGUUUACAAUUUAAUUGAAUUAAAGGUAUAAUUAUUAAAUUUGACCACCUAGUAUUUUAAAAGUGUAAAAUAUACCCUAUACUAUAUAUAACAUUAAAAGUCUAACAUUAUAUAUAUGUAUGAGUAAAAGUCAGUCUUACCGUUAGUAGGCCUCAUUCACGAAGCUGGUCUAUAAGGGGUGUUUAAGGAAAUUGCCUAUAAAAUGGCGAUUGAAUGGGUAUCCACUCUUACCCACCGCACUCUUGACUAGUGGAGGGUCGUUAGCCGAACGGGUAGGAUAGGACGAAACCUUCCAUUAUAAGUAUAAUGAAUUAUUAAAGUAACUAAAUGUUUUCAUAAAAUUCCCAAUCUUAGUUACUUAGGCAAAAGUGAAUUGAUGCAAUUCCAUGAAAUUACACUUUGUGCCCUUGCGAAGACGUUAGUGGAGCGUGUGUGGUUUACCGGCACACUAAAUGGUUCUAAGCAAAGGUAGCAAAGGGUGACUCAAUGUUUGUCAUAGUUCGGUGGAGCGUGUGUGGUUUACCGGCACAUCGAAUAGGUGACUGUAACAUGUGAGGGCACCAUGUAAGUUUGCAUGGUUAUUCACACCCGCUUUGUGAUCCUCGGCCUCCCAGUCACAAACAAGAGGGGCAUAUCGAGAUUUAAACAUGCCAUUGAAAUGUUCGAUGAAUCUCAAAGGAUCUAGGAGUUUUCAUAAAUUUAAAACUUUUCGUUUUUCAUGGUGGAAAUUAGUGAAUCAUCAUUCACUUACCUUCAAAUGUUCUGCAAUUUGGGUUACGGCAUCCCUCUCCCGAGUUGUAGAAUAUUGUGUUGGGUCCUAGCCUUAGUAUCUCAUUUGGGUGAUUUACUAAGGACUCAAUCAAUCAACUAACUUGAAUUUGUUUCUCCCGUUUUGUAGAUGUCUAAGUUCGACAACUAUGGUCUUCCCAAAUCCCAUGGAACAAGCUUUCCACAUGAAGAUGAUAUUCCACGAUUCGAUCGAGGAACAAGAAAUCAUGCUUCACUUCCUCCACCUCCUCCAAUUAUUCUCCCUAACCCACAAGUUCAAAGGCUUGAAAAGUUCAAGAUCACUCAAGCCCUUUUGGCAAGUAAACAUAAAGAAGGAAAGUCGGUGUGUGCACACGUCCUAGGGAUGAAGUCACACAUUGAUAGGUUAAGAAUGUUGGGAUCCGUUGUCUGUGAGGAAAUGGCUGUUGAUUGGGUUCUUCAGUCACUUCCUAACUCAUAUAGUGAGUUCGUAAGAGAGUACUAUAUGAUAAACCGCGACGUGACCCUUAUAGAUCUCACCUAUAUGCUUAUUUCUGCUGAAUCAUAAAUGUUUUGGCGCAAUGGAAAAGCAAAGUUUAUUGUUGAAUCUGCCUUCAAGACCUCUAUGGAUAUAGACAAUGGCUAGGAAAGACAUGCUAUGAUCAAAAAGUUUGAUCAUAAGAGAAAGGCAAUGUCUGAAGUAGUUCCAUGUCAUGUUCCAAAAGAGUCAAUUUGCUUUUAUUUCCAAGAGAAAAGGGUAUUGGAGACGAAGCUGCCCCAUUUACCUAAGAGAUCUAAGAGAUGGGAGAGUCGAACCGUAUGGCUCUAAUAUAGGUAAAAUCCAUUAACUAACUCUUUUAAGCUUCUAUUCUAGAUUCUUAAUACAUAAUGUGAUAAGAUUACAAUUAAUGUUUUGAAGGAUCAAAGAAACGAAAGGAAUCUUAAAGGAAGAAGUGAGCAGAAUCUAACCGUGAAGGAAUGGAUUUCGAUCGCAUUUCUCGAAGAUUAGAUUCUUGAGCUACUACUUAGAGUUAGAAUUAGAUUGCUAAGAAAGAUGUAUUAGCAUAGUUUUUCAAUGAAUUGCAUUGUAAGGACAAAAUUUUUCCGCAAUAAAAUAAAUUUUGAUUUUAUAUUAUUUAUUUAUCCUUGCAAUGGCGUAUAUGAAAAAUUGAUGUUUGAAUGUUUCUAUUAUUAGCAAUAAUGGAUUUGGUUCUUAUUAUGUUAUUUAUGUAAAGUCAAGAAUUUACCAAAUAGGGAGAGUUUCUCAUCGCCCAAGUUUCAAUUGGACAGAAACUUGGAAUCAUGCAACUUGGUUGCACGAUGAAUGAUAAAUUUCAUAUUUGGAAAUUAGACUAAUUCAUUGACAAAGUGUCAAGUGAAGGACUAGGAGAUCGAGCACACAAAGUUGCGUGUUGAUCAAGUCCACCAUAAGAGUAACAAAGAUAUUCGUCAUGAUUUACUAAAGGUUUAGUAAAUAUGAUUAUACUUAUAAGAUUAAGUGUAAUUCUGAAUUGAUUGAAAAGGUUUAAAUCAAUAGCAGAACGAAUAAGAAGAAUCAAGUAGGCAGAAAGAUAAAAGUUUCUCCAUUCUAAGAAGAAGGGAGAGUACCUUUUAUGCUUUAUGAUAGGUCUUAAUGAUUAAGAACCAUAUCUCAAUUGAUCCUCUAAGUGAGUCUUAGUACAAUUGUAUGUCUAAGAAGAGGAAUCAAGAAUUGAAGAAAUGGUUAAAUCAAGAAGUCAAUCAUACUUCGUUCCAAAAACAAGUCUUAAAGUUAAGAUUGUGACAAUGAGUGAUAAGUAUUAAGAAGGUUUAUAACAUUCAUCAAAUGUGGAAAGUUGUGAUGUCUUGGAUAAGACAAAGACCAACUAGGACCAAUUUAUGAAGUGUUUUGAUAAAAGCUACACUAACUCUUGAAUAUUUGUUUGUCAAGAAAUGGUUAUUGACAAGAGAAUCUUAUAUGUCAAGGAGUCAGUGGGAGUCUUAAUGGUCUUGAAAGGUUUCAAGAACAAAUCAAAUAAACCUUAUCGAUCAUCACUAGCACACGAGUUGAGGUUUACAACCUAUCGUGUUGACAUUAUUUUGAUUCUGUGCCAAUCCAAUCGAGUUAAUUAUGCAUGUGAGUUCUAUGAGUUCUCAUUUUGAACGCAUAAAAGGCAAAGCACCUUAAUCAAUGAAAGGUACAUUGAUAGGAAAGGGUGAGCUGCUUAACUACUUGGAAGACAUGGUGGGCAGCUGUGCUACCAUAAGGCAAGAAAUCAAGAUUAAGAAAGUUCGGUCCAUAUGAGUUUGAAUUUGUCGUAAACUUUGGUUUUAACAAAUUCACAUGGAUAGGAACACAUACACCGUUUAAAUCUAAGUGUCAUAAGAUUUCCUCCUUCAUGAAAAUGAUUGUGAGGAAAUGCUUUCACUAAGAAAGAUUUUAAGAAGAUAGUGAUUGUAAAAUUGCAUUCUCGAAUUCGAUUAUGGUUACGGUAUCCCUUUCCAUAAUUUGAAUUGUGAGGUUUGGCAAUUAGUCUUAAUUGUUUAGACACACAUAUGAACUAUCUAAGGCAAAGGUGUAUAAGUUCAAGAAGCCUUGAUAAAAGAUUAUCAAAGCACUAAGUAUUAGAAACAUGAACUUAAGAAAUUCAAUAAGUAUUGUUUUUCUGAAAGUUAAGAUGUUUAUGAAUACAUGUCGAAGCUAGUGGGAGCAUAAGUGUUAUGUUUUAUAAUAAUCAUCAUGAUAGUGGGAGCAUAAAUGUUAUGAUUGUAUGAUUAUUAAGGCACGUAUUGCAAGUUGGCAAUAUUAAUUAUAGAAAACAAGAGUUAUACCUUGCAAAGUCGUAAGGGUUGUAAAGUUGUUUUGCUAUAAUUAAGGGAGAGAAUAUUAUGCUUCAUUUCAAAUCUAAAGGAUUAGGUUGAGAAAUGUUAAUAAAUUUAGUCAAGGGUACAUAGUGUGUUCUUAAAAUUUCGAUUAUGAUUACGACAUUCCUCUUCACAAUUCGAAUUUUGAGAACAUAGCAAAUAAAACAUUAUGCGUCGUGUCCCAUACGCUUCGGGUAUAGGAUCGAUUGCAAAUGCUUUAAUGUUUGACCAUUCUAAAAUUUUCCAAAUGUCGAGCGCAUUUAGAGGGAAAAGGGACUAGAAUUGGUUUUGACUAAAAUAAUUAAACAACUAUCAAAGGACAAUCCAAAGUUUGACGAGGAUUGGUCGCUUGUGAGUAGUUGGAAGCAUGGUAUUGGAUGGACCAUAUCGACAUUAUUAUGAAUAGAAAAGAUUCUAUUAAGAAUGAGUUGUCAUAUGGAAAUUAUGGAAAUGUUUCCAUAUUGGAUGGACCAUAUCGACAUUAUUAUGAAUAGAUAAGAUUCUAUUAAGAAUGAGUUGUCAUAUGGAAAAUAUGGAAACGUGUCCAUAUUGGGAAUUGAAUAUUGAAAAUCUAUGUCUAGAUUAGAAACUUUUAUGCAAAAGGAUGUUCAAAGGAAUGUACUUUGAGUGAGAGACAUCAUAUCUAAGGAAUUGUCUUGUAACAAUCUCCGAUAGAGGACUUUGUAAUAUCAUUGGCAAUAGUCUUUGUGACUUUGGUGCAGUGACAUUACGAAAGGAUCAUUGCAUAAAAUGUUAGAAUCUAGCAUAUUCUAUAAGUAGCAAGAAUUUGAUAUUCUUACACUUAUGAAAAAGGAUUUGGAGUUGUGAAAUGAGAAUGAUUGGAAAUGUGUUCAAUUUGAUCUAUUUCACAAAGUAAGAACCAUAGGUAAACAUUGUGUGCAUGCUAGGAGCAUGGGACAAGUGUAAUAAUUCAAGUAAGAAGUUGAUUACCCGAAACGACAAAUAAUGAGUAAUCGAUAUGGUGAUAAAUAAAAGGUGUUUUAUUUAUGCUCAAAGGUUUGAGGCCAUAUGGGAUUAGUAUUAUUCUUGUGUUUCACUUUGCAUGUUUUGACUUCCUGAAUAAUUUAAUUGGUUUAGAACAGUCAAAUUAUUCGAACGGGCCACAGUCGUUCAUAUGUUGGAAGUAGGUAUGAAUAAAGACUGUCGUGAAUUGGUGUGUGGAUUGUCUAAAGAGUAUUAGACAUAAGCAAAUGUUUGCUGCAACGUUCAUGAGUGCUUAUGAAUAUGAUUUGAGCAUUGGAUUAAACCCACGCUCACUUGGAUCACUCCAUGAAUUGUAUCACGAGUGAUUGGUGAGACGAUAACAUCUUAUAUUCUUGAAACCGAGAUGUGUGAGUUGUAUCUUGCAAAUCGGUUGCACAUUGAUAAUAUGUAAACGCACUAGUAACUUGGUGUUAUAAAACAUAUUGUUGUGUGUGAUUCGGUGAGUGAGUGCAAGCAAGCAUUGUAUCAAAGUUUAUCCGUUCCUUUUAUCCAAAGUAGGAUAAAAGCGAUAUCUUUGGGCCCCUCGAUGAUUUAGUGAUGACAAACGUAAAUGCUCGUCCGGGCUAGGGCUAAUUUGAUUUGUUCAAUUAGUGUGUCCUCAUAAAUCAGAAAUCGAGAAGUAGUACAAAGAGAACGAUUUGAAAUCAUAUCUCAUAUGAUAUCUAGAAUGUAAGAAUAUAUGAUCCCUUAUCUAAGGACACGCGUAUCUGAUAGGAUCAGAGUUGACAGCGGCUUUGGAAAGCUACGAUUGCAGAUCAGGAUCUGAAGUCAUACGCAGAAUAGUUAUUAGACUUAUCCAAGUGGGAGACUGUUGGAUUAGUGUCUAAGUCCAUAACUAUUUUGGUAUGUACUUGACCCGAUGGUGCAUGGUCCUUUUGGGUUGCCUUCACCAAAGCAACUUGAUAGGAUGAAUUAUGGAGAGAAAGGAUUAAAUAUGAUUUAUUAAUAUAUUAUGGGAAUAAUAUAUUAAAGGAGAAAUCAUAUUGUUUAAUUAAUAUUAGUCAAUAAUUAAUUGGUAAUUAGUUUUGUGACUAAAAGAGAUUAAUUAAACUUAAGGGACUGGAAUUGUAAUUAUAAGAUUAUUGCAAUUUGGGCCAUGGAUUGCCUUAUAUUAAGGAGUGGACGAAUUCUAUGGGGAAGCCCAUAAGAAAUCGUCCAAGGCCUUAAGGAAAGGGAUCCAUGGGUUGCUUAGGGCUUAAGCAUCCAAUUUAGGGUUUCCUUGUUAGAUAACCCUAAUAGCCUCACUAUAAAUAGACCCCUUAAGGACUAAAAACGUGGCAAAGCUUUGUUAUAGGGUUUCACACGUUUUUGGGCAGCCUCCAUCCUCUCUUCUCUUCAUCCUCUUUCUUAUGGUGUUUGUGAACCGUUAGAGGAGUGACAUUUGUGACUCUAAGCUUCCUAAAGUCAAUAAAAGGAGAUUUGGGAUUGUUAUUGCUACAUAACAAUCAAGGUAACAUCUUAAACCUAUUCUCAUGUUAAUAUGAUUACUUGAAUGCUAGAAUUAGGGUUUAUAGUCUUGGAUAACUUGCAUGCACAAUAGAGAAACCUAGAUCCAAGCAUUAGGGUUUGUAUGAGCACAUAGGAUGUUCUUAGGACCAAAGCCCAUCAGUGGUAUCAGAGGCUAGAUUGGUUCUAUUAUAUUGAUGCAUUAUAUGUUUAAAAAAUUCGAUUUUUGGUAUUCUGGAGGCUGGACUCGCCGAGUCCAUGCUUGGCUCGACGAGUCAACUCGUCAGAUGGAGUAAACUUUAGAAAUAACUUUAGGAUUUCUUGCUGUUUUUGCUUAAGGAUAGUUUCCUUAUCAUAUUAGAUC
Molecule: long non-coding RNA, 7583 nt
Filed under: Lactuca sativa (garden lettuce)
Lineage: Eukaryota; Viridiplantae; Streptophyta; Magnoliopsida; Asterales; Asteraceae
Description: long non-coding RNA (LSAT_LNC008741)
Source: RNAcentral